AGAGUUUGAUCCUGGCUCAGGAUGAACGCUGGCGGCGUGCCUAACACAUGCAAGUCGAGCGAGAUCUUCUGGAACGAAACUUCGGUCUAGUGAAGGAAGUGGAAGCGGCGGACGGGUGAGUAACGCGUAGGCAACCUGCCCCAUACAGAGGGAUAGCCUCGGGAAACCGGGAUUAAAACCUCAUAAAGCGAAUUUAUCACAUGGUUUAUUCGCCAAAGAUUUAUCGGCAUGGGAUGAGCCCGCGGCCCAUCAGCUCGUUGGCGGGGUAACGGCCCACCAAGGCUACGACGGGUAGCUGGUCUGAGAGGACGAUCAGCCACACUGGAACUGAGACACGGUCCAGACUCCUACGGGAGGCAGCAGUGGGGAAUCUUGCGCAAUGGGCGAAAGCCUGACGCAGCAACGCCGCGUGUGUGAUGAAGGUCUUCGGAUCGUAAAGCACUGUCGGGAGGGACGAAUAAGGGCCGGGUGAACAAUCCGGUUCGAUGACGGUACCUCCAAAGGAAGCACCGGCUAACUCUGUGCCAGCAGCCGCGGUAAUACAGAGGGUGCAAGCGUUGUUCGGAAUUAUUGGGCGUAAAGCGCGUGUAGGCGGUCUCGCAAGUCGGAUGUGAAAGCCCUCGGCUUAACCGAGGAAGUGCGUUCGAAACUACGAGACUUGAGUACCGGAGAGGGUGGCGGAAUUCCCGGUGUAGAGGUGAAAUUCGUAGAUAUCGGGAGGAACACCAGUGGCGAAGGCGGCCACCUGGACGGCUACUGACGCUGAGACGCGAAAGCGUGGGGAGCAAACAGGAUUAGAUACCCUGGUAGUCC
This 813-nucleotide ribosomal RNA is filed under the name uncultured bacterium. Its description in RNAcentral is "bacterial SSU rRNA". It matches the Rfam family "Bacterial small subunit ribosomal RNA", at positions 8 to 796 of the family's 1533-position model. The record is from RNAcentral.